UACGGAAUGUGCAAACGUUAUUCGGAAUCACUGGGCUUAAAGAGUCCGUAGGCGGCUUGUUAGGUGAGGUGUGAAAUCCUCCGGCCUAACCGGAGAACGGCUUUUGAUACUGGUGGUCUCGAGGGGGGUAGGGGCAUGCGGAACUUCCGGUGGAGCGGUGAAAUGCGUAGAUAUCGGAAGGAACGCCGGUGGCGAAAGCGGCGUGCUGGACCCCUUCUGACGCUGAGGCGCGAAAGCCAGGGGAGCAAACGGG
RNAcentral lists this ribosomal RNA (253 nucleotides) under uncultured bacterium. RNAcentral describes it as "partial 16S ribosomal RNA". It matches the Rfam family "Bacterial small subunit ribosomal RNA", at positions 524 to 776 of the family's 1533-position model. The record is from RNAcentral.